GCAUGAGUGAGAAAGAGGAAUCCGGCCUAUUUGCAUGUGGUGUUUUGAGCUGCAGCACUGAUACAGACAUCAUAAUUGCAUGAUGCACCCAAUGCUGAAAUCAUUUUAGCUCGUUGCUCUUAAUUUUAAAGUUAAGUUUAAACUCUCUCCUGUUGAACUCAAUGGCGCACGAGAAAAUGUUUCAUUGUUAAUUACUUUGAGUGUCAUGGGAGCCAUGCAUGGUGUAGUGGUUAAGAGCAGUGGACUCGUAAUCUGGUGAACCGGGUUUGCUUCCCCACUCCUCCACAUGCAGCUGCUGGGUGCCCUUGGGCUAGUCACACUUCCCUGAAGUCUCUCAGCCCACAGAGUGUUUUUUUGUGGGGGAGGAAGGGAAAGGAGAUUGUUAGCCACUUUGAGACUCCUUAAGGGGAGUGAAAGGCAGGAUAUCAAGUCCAAACUCCUCCUCCUCUUCUUCUUCUUCUUCUUCUUCUUCUUCUUCUUCUUCUUCUUCUUCUGCUACCCCUCUACUUCCAGGAGAGAGGAAGCCAAAUGCUGGCUCAUGGUGGCUGGCAGUUCAGGGAUUCCCUCCUAAGAAUUUUGAAUUGCCCAAUCAAGGGCAGCUUGAUGGCAGGGUUUGGGCAGCAGAUCAGAGUGGAGAAGUCUUCUUUACGGUCUGCCACCUCGAUAUCUAGGCCAACUGCGCCCGAGUUUGGCAAAGAGCAACCUGCCCUUCCUCCCUUUCUGCUGUGGUUUAUUGUGCAUUCCAAUCUCAUUUGCUUCCUUUGAGCAUCGUGUUAUCUGACCUUGACAUGGCUUAAUAUGGUUCACAUAUUUGGAGCUGGGAAGGAAUUUAUAAGUUUAUAGUUAUAAGUUUGCAUGUGGAAGACAAGAUGCUGAAGAAACCUAGGGAACAAGCUGAGCCAGCUCCACUCCUUUCUCCCAGUGCCACUUCUUCACGUCUCACUGAGCAACAGCAGUCUGUGUAUGAGGCAGGCUUUCAUUGCCCAACUCCUAUUGCUGCUGAGUGGCAGAUGUCAGGUCAGACUAUUUCCCCCCUCCCCCACCUUUCACGUCAUUCAAAGCCUAGUGAGCCUCUGUAUCUCCACUUGAUCUGGUGAGCAGCAAAUGCCCACAUAGGUGGUAUCUACUCCUGCUGGGGUCUUCAUGUAUGCAUCAGCAAAAAAGAGGACAGUGCAUCAACAUCAUACUACCAAAGAAAGCAGGUGCAGAUUUGCAUACAAUUUGCAUGUGCUAAUAUCUCCCAGCAGAUCCCGAUUUAGAAAUUACUAUAGUUUAAAUAGAAAAUUCUGCAUCUCUCCUCAUACUGGGGAAGACAAUAACCAGCUGCCUUGUGUUCCUCUCCAGGUGCUACCUGUUUAUAGGCACUUUCAACACCCUUUUCUCCCUCAUGUGGCUAUUAUUUGUUUUCGAACAGCCUGGAUCCUCUGGCAAUUCUUCAGAUUGAGGAUUGCCCACUGUAAAGUAGGAUACAUGGCCACCCUAUGCAUGUAGCAGCAGAGAUAUCUCAUGUCUCAGUGGGUGGGGUGGAAGACAGCCUUUGGUUGUCAUGUUGUGACUUUGUGCAUGGCAAGGGUCUCCACAACCAGUCCUGCGCACACAUGCGCAUGCACACACAAAGGGGGAGAGCAAUUGUUAUAUCUCCAUUGCCAAAUUUCCAGAACCUCAUUCUGGAUAACAACCUGAAGUCUGUCUAACCCUUCAUGAGUUGCUGUGUGUGGUUCAAAGAAAUUUUGGGGGGAAAUGCACAAAAGAAAUAUAUUUUGAAAGAAGACACAUUUGUUGUGAAAAAGGCGAGUGAUCAAAAUGUAGUUUUAUAGGAAGUAAUCAGCAUUACAGCUAGGAAAACAUUGCUUCUUUUCUUUUUUUUCUUUUUCUUUUUUACAUUGGGCAAGCCUGUGAGUUAAUCAGGAGAUCAUUAUCAUAAAACACUUUUAACAGUACACUGCUGACUGACAGAGUCAUGAGGAGAAUGAAAGAGAAAAUGAAAGAAAUCUUUCAACAAGACCUCUGGAGACAUUCUGAAGUACCUGGCUGUCAGCAUUCCUGGAUCAAAAGGAGUAGCUCCACUACUGAAAUGAAAGGACACAUUGGCAAAUUCAUAUCUAUUAUUUUCAAAAGAUUGGCAGAUUAUUUUGCAACACAAUUUAGCAACAUUUAAGUCUAGUACUGAAUGGAGUUGCUUUUAAACCCGUCUUUAUUGUGAUACUUUUGCAAGCAUUACAGCACCUGUUGGGAUCACAUGGAGUGGUUGCGUUCUUGUUUCUAUUUUCAACAGGACCACCCCCCCCCCCAGGCUUCCCGAAAACCUUUGUUUUUCAGACUCUGUCAGCUAGCUUUGAUUUCUGAGAAAUUUCCGCUUCUGAAAAUAAAUGUGAUUCAGAGGCAGAGCAAUUUCAAAUCUCCCUUCUGCCAGGCUGGGAGUUGGGUGGGUUUACAUUGAGUGAAAAUGUCCCCUGUCCAGCUCUCCCACCUAAGCCAGCCUCCUGCUUGCUGCCUGCCAGAGUCAUGCAAGCCUCAUUCUGUAGGUGUGGUCCUCUCCCUUCCACCUGCCAAACAUGCAGGCCGGUGGAAAGGCCACUAGCAUUAUGCAUUAUGCCAGCAGCGAAGUCCCUGAAACAGGACAUCCCAGAAGCAGGAAGGCCUAAGCCAGCUUAAGAUCCAUCAGAUCCUCAGCCAGUCUCAUUGCCUUUAUGCUACAGCAUUGGAUUUGAUUGCUGUGCAAGCCACAGCCCCUGCUGCACCAUAAAAGCUGGGUCGAAGUUUGGAUUGCAAUCUAAGAUGUUGUAAGCAAUGUUUGAUUCUUGGGAUGAAGACACCAGGAGGCUGGUGUGACUGGUACUGCAGAACCCCACAGCAUGGGCUAAAAAAAAAAAAGCAUAAUAUUAAGCCUAAGAACUUCUCUUUGUGCUGACUCACUGUAUCCUGGGCUACCUAAAGGACACCACAUGUUUUGUUUUGUUUUGUUUUGUUUUACUUUAUUCUUGUUAUUAUUAUAUAUGUAUUGCUUCAUAAAUAUAUUCUUGUUCAGGAUAUAGAACUGUGUUGGUGAUUUUGGAGUUUUACUACACCUACCUCAGCAAAGAUCAUGUCAUUUUUCAUGGUUGCUAAGCAACCAUUCCAUCAUCAUCUCUCCCUUCCCUAGCUGACUUACUGGUAACAGAAUUAACACUUCCAUUUCAAACUGAAUGAUCCCUGUUGCUGCUCUUACAACAUACUUCAAAGUGGGUGGUCAGGUGGCUGGAAGGAGUCCUUGGAGAAAACAUAGCAGCUUCAGAAUAAAAGUAGAAGCACUGUAAAUAUCUGCAGUAGUUAUGGAUACCCAAUUAUGAAUAGUUAUGUUGGUGAUAUUUUUGGUACCGCCUGCAAGCUGAACACCUGUAGGAUUUGUGACACAUAUACUACUUAGAGGGUACAGCCAAGACAAGUACAUUUUAAAAUAUUAAGCCCCAAAGGGCUGGGUAAUUUUGAAAUCAUUGGCGUCUUCAUACAAAAAACCCACAAAACAGUUCCUAUGGGGAAAUCACUAAUCAGAAUUUCUGUAAUUCUAUGCACACUCUUUCAGAUAAGUUUUGGACAGCACUGUUACUCCUGGAUAGCAUUCAUAUUGUCACUGAAAAACACUAUCAAGCCCCAUACCAAAAGUACUUCAGAGUACUUUUUCAAACCAAACCAAUAAAAAUAAAAAUGCAGCUUUGUAUUCUUAAAAAGUCACUUCGCUUUUUCACUAUUCAUUUAUGUAUUUAUUGUAUUUAGUUUUUCCAUCUUUCUUCCAAUGAGCCCAAAGUGGUGUACAAGGUUCUCUCCCUCUCCAUAUUAUCCUGACUACAACCCUGGGAGGUGUGUUAUAACAAGCCAACAAGCUUCAAGGCUGAAUGGGGAUUUGAAUUCUGGUCUCCUAGGCCCUAAUACAAUCAUCUAACCACUACAUCGCAUGGGCACUCUUAUUGCUCAUCAACUUGUAAUCAUAUCUCUCCACUGGCUCCUUUCCUGUUUCUUUCUCAGUAAAAUCAAGUACCUAAUUAUCACCUUCUAUACUCUUAUGCAGUGGCACAUGCCAACACUAUGGCUGUCUUCUCCCACGUUGUAUUCAGAAUUUGUUAUUGUGAAGUAAUUAAGCUGCCCACAUAGGGAUUUGGGCACAUUCUUCUCUGCACAUUUCUGACUAGUUUCUACCAUGUUUUCACUGCUUCCCUGCCAUUUAACCUCAUGCAUCUUCAGAUUAAACGUUACCUUGUUCUUAGCAUCGCUCAGACUCCGCUUGUUAUUCAUUAUGUAAUACUUAAUGUGGGGAAAAGUUUGGAAUGUGGUAUGAAGCCAGCCUCUCUACACAACUGGCUUGUUAUAUUGUUCCCUCCCACCACUAUGAUAGCUUUUAGCUCUGUCUGUCUUAAUGGUGAAAUGAAACAAUUGGUUAAUUGUUGGAAAUGUUUGCUUUUAAAAACACUCAUAAAAACACAAUCAUGCCUUAAGGAAUUUUCAACACCUACACAGUUAGUAUAGGGCAGGGGUCUGCAACCCGCGGCUCCGGAGCCGCAUGUGGCUCUUUUACACCUUUGCCGCGGCUCCAGGGGAGGAGGCGCAUUGUGCGCCCCGACACUCCCCACUGUGGCGGGCGCUGUACUGGCUGUGAUGUCGCAUGGGGGCGGUGUGUGCGUUAGUCACACACCGUCCCAACGUCACCUUCCCGCCCGCCCGCUACAUUGUAAGGGGCAUGUACGCUGGUCACUGCAUUGAAAGGGGGCAUGUACGCUGGUCACUGUUUUGAAGGGGAGUGAAGAACACACACACACAAAAAGGUAACUUGUUAAUUUAACGUUUAUUUCUAUGAGGAGGAGUAAUUCUGAGGGGUCAAACAAAGAAAUAAUAAUAAUAAGUGACAAAAAGGUUAUUUUUAUAAUGACGAGUUUUGUGGCUCCCAGGUUUUUUUUCUUCGGAAACGGGUCCAAGUGGCUCUUUUUGUCUUAAAGGUUGCAGACCCCUGGUAUAGGGGCUUUAUUUCUUGUUCUCUUCUGAUGAAAAUAUGGAAAUUUGCAAUACUUGUAAUAGGAAAGUUUUUAACGACUGAUGUUUUAAUGUAUUUUUAAUCUUUUGCUAGAAACCACCCAGAUACUAAUAUUAGUAUUAGUAUUAAGCAAAGAAAUUUUGCUAAUGGAUUGAAAUGAUCUAACAAGAGAAAGAGUGAGCUAAUGCUGAUUUAGUUUUGUAGCCCUGUCUCUUGGGUAUCGACUGUCCCCAGACAGGUAACUUUCUGGAAUGAAGAAACUACCACAGUCACUGGCUGGCUGAGAAAACCAUCCAUCUGCAGAAACCAGAGAAUUAAUGGCCAUCUCUGGUUCUCAAGCAUUCCCACUGUUACUCCUAUAGCAGCAACGCCAAGGGCAGCAAAACGUUUGAUGUGACAUCAUCAUAUUGUGACAAUACCACAUCACACAUUUGUACUAUAUGUUCCGGGGGUGGGUGGGUGAGGACCAGAAGAUGCCGAGCUCAUGAUUUCCAUGGCAGCCGCCUUUGUUGUGUUAUGCUCAGUCCCAGCAUGAACUGCUAAUUGCUGAUUUAGGAAAUGUUUGAUUGCUCAUAGCGCUGCCUGUUAUUGUCACCCUAACUCUCUAUAGUACUUUGACAAUCCUGGAAUGGCCUUCUCCAUUCCAAAUCUUUUUUAUCAUCUUACUUAGUCCUCUUGCCUGAUAUAACUCCACUCUUGGCAACUCUCUGGAACACAAUGGGAUAAGGGAUGGUGCAUGGAGAAAUGCCAAUAGGUAGAAAAUCCAGUUUGCCAACUUACAGGAGUGAAAUGACUUGGUUGAGACAAAACCAACAGUGGAUACAUACAGCCUCCUCUUUGCCUGAUAGUGCUGCUAGCAUUUUGUUUGUUAAAAAAGUAUCGAGACUGUGCACUUUGCACAUUGUGCCAGAAGAAAGGGAGUUGCAAAGAACAUGUGUUGUUUCUGAGGUCUGAAGUUGAUAUUUUAAAAAAAUACAAGUAAACCAUCUUGAGUUUCUGCUUAGGAAUUGUGGAGAUACACUGUGCCAGCAGGGGUCUGAGCGACUGUUAGUCAUCAGUGUUUGCAGUAAAUCAAACCAUGGGCAGUUCUGUGAGUAAAGUGUCUGUGUGAAGGCAUCAGAAGCCGGUCAAUUCUAACUGGUCAGCUCCAUCCUGAUGCUUAUGGGCCAGGGUUGGGGACCCUUUUUGACUCCACAAGCCAGAUCUUUGUCAAGGUAGGCCUUGCGGACCACAAUUGACAGUUGGUGGUUCUCUCAAUCAUGUGACCUCACUGUGGCAUCAUGUGAUUGAUGGGUGGGCACUGCUGACCUCUUGAAAUCCCUUGCAGAUUGAAGCAGAGAAAGCAUUCUAUACGUUGAACCACUUACUCCUCCAGCAGCUCCUUACCAUUAGUUCUUUUCUGUCUCCCGUUCUUCAGCCCUUCUGGGAUGUGUUUUUAAAGCGGCUGAAGCAAGGCUACCACUAGCACCACUUUCAUGUAUAGUGUUCAGUGCAUUUCUAUAGAAAAAAAAAAUCCAGAUUUUUCUUUCCUGUUAAACAGCCUUUUGAGGGUGCCUAGGUCACAGAGCUGCCAUUUUCUGAUGGUGGGCCUCACUUCCUUAUCCCUUGUGGUGGGUAUGAAACACUUCGUUUUCCCCCAACCCAUUCUCUCUUUAUGCUGCAAGGCAACAACACCAUCCAUCCGUGUUUUCUUUUCUUUUAGUUUUUCGUGGUUAUUUUUGGUACUCGUGUAAUAAAUUUUGCCCAAGCAGUUCUAGACAAGGAAUUGGCUGGCAUACGUGUUCUAUUUUCGAAGCAGGCAAAUUGAUAUUGCUUUGCUGUCUCCUCUGAGUCACUCCUCCACUCGCCACCGUGGAAAUCCAUGGGCUCAAAUUAUGCUGCAGAGUCGCAGUGUCCCUGGCAUCUCCAGCUAGAUAACAAAACAGCUCAGGUAGCAGAUGAUCGGGGAGAUUCUCUGCCCAAGACCCCAGGGGGCUGCUUACCGGACCAGGUAGAGAAGUAGUCUACAUGGCAUGGUACAUGGCAAACAGAAGAAAGAAUAAAAGUGGAGAUUUGCUACAUCUUCUGAAUGGAAAAGAGAAGAUCUCAUGCAAUGAUUUAUUGAUAGUCGCUUGAAUCUUUUCCAGAGAGGCAACUUGUUUAGUGUCUUGCUGCAGACAGAAGAGUCUUUAGAAGACUGAACAAAUUUAUUAUGGCAUAAUAUUUAGUGGGUUACGAUCCACUCUGUCAGAUGCAUGACGUGUUAUUGUGAGUUACAGGUCUAUACAGUGGUACCUCGGGUUAAGUACUUAAUUCGUUCGGGAGGUCCGUUCUUAACCUGAAACUGUUCUU
Molecule: non-coding RNA, 7333 nt
Organism: Podarcis lilfordi (Lilford's wall lizard)
Lineage: Eukaryota; Metazoa; Chordata; Lepidosauria; Squamata; Lacertidae
Source: the annotation of a GenBank genome assembly